GACGAACGCUGGCGGCGUGCUUAACACAUGCAAGUCGAACGGAAAGGCCCUGCUUUUGUGGGGUGCUCGAGUGGCGAACGGGUGAGUAGCACGUGAGUAACCUGCCCUUGACUUUGGGAUAACUUCAGGAAACUGGGGCUAAUACCGGAUAGGAGCUCCUGCUGCAUGGUGGGGGUUGGAAAGUUUCGGCGGUUGGGGAUGGACUCGCGGCUUAUCAGCUUGUUGGUGGGGUAGUGGCUUACCAAGGCUUUGACGGGUAGCCGGCCUGAGAGGGUGACCGGCCACAUUGGGACUGAGAGACGGCCCAGACUCCUACGGGAGGCAGCAGUGGGGAAUAUUGCACAAUGGGCGGAAGCCUGAUGCAGCAACGCCGCGUGCGGGAUGACGGCCUUCGGGUUGUAAACCGCUUUCGCCUGUGACGAAGCGUGAGUGACGGUAAUGGGUAAAGAAGCACCGGCUAACUACGUG
Molecule: ribosomal RNA, 468 nt
Filed under: uncultured bacterium
Lineage: Bacteria
Description: partial 16S ribosomal RNA
Rfam family: Bacterial small subunit ribosomal RNA
Source: RNAcentral